GAUGAACGCUGGCGGCGUGCCUAAUACAUGCAAGUCGAGCGAACGGACGAGAAGCUUGCUUCUCUGAUGUUAGCGGCGGACGGGUGAGUAACACGUGGAUAACCUACCUAUAAGACUGGGAUAACUUCGGGAAACCGGAGCUAAUACCGGAUAAUAUUUUGAACCGCAUGGUUCAAAAGUAAAAGACGGUCUUGCUGUCACUUAUAGAUGGAUCCGCGCUGCAUUAGCUAGUUGGUAAGGUAACGGCUUACCAAGGCAACGAUGCAUAGCCGACCUGAGAGGGUGAUCGGCCACACUGGAACUGAGACACGGUCCAGACUCCUACGGGAGGCAGCAGUAGGGAAUCUUCCGNCAUGGGCGAAAGCCUGACGGAGCAACGCCGCGUGAGUGAUGAAGGUCUUCGGAUCGUAAAACUCUGUUAUUAGGGAAGAACAUAUGUGUAAGUAACUGUGCACAUCUUUGACGUACCCUAUCAGAAAGCACGGGCUACUACGUGCCAGCAGCCGCGGGUAUACGUAGGUGGGCAAGCGUAUCCGGGAUUAUUGGGCGUAAAGCGCGCGUAGCGGUUUUUUAGUCUGAUGUGAAAGCCCACGGCUCAACCGUGGAGGGUCAUUGGAAACUGGAAAACUUGAGUGCAGAAGAGGAAAGUGGAAUUCCAUGUGUAGCGGUGAAAUGCGCAGAGAUAUGGAGGAACACCAGUGGCGAAGGCGACUUUCUGGUCUGUAACUGACGCUGAUGUGCGAAAGCGUGGGGAUCAAACAGGAUUAGAUACCCUGGUAGUCCACGCCGUAAACGAUGAGUGCUAAGUGUUAGGGGGUUUCCGCCCCUUAGUGCUGCAGCUAACGCAUUAAGCACUCCGCCUGGGGAGUACGACCGCAAGGUUGAAACUCAAAGGAAUUGACGGGGACCCGCACAAGCGGUGGAGCAUGUGGUUUAAUUCGAAGCAACGCGAAGAACCUUACCAAAUCUUGACAUCCUUUGACAACUCUAGAGAUAGAGCCUUCCCCUUCGGGGGACAAAGUGACAGGUGGUGCAUGGUUGUCGUCAGCUCGUGUCGUGAGAUGUUGGGUUAAGUCCCGCAACGAGCGCAACCCUUAAGCUUAGUUGCCAUCAUUAAAUUGGGCACUCUAAGUUGACUGCCGGUGACAAACCGGAGGAAGGUGGGGAUGACGUCAAAUCAUCAUGCCCCUUAUGAUUUGGGCUACACACGUGCUACAAUGGACAAUACAAAGGGCAGCGAAACCGCGAGGUCAAGCAAAUCCCAUAAAGUUGUUCUCAGUUCGGAUUGUAGUCUGCAACUCGACUACAUGAAGCUGGAAUCGCUAGUAAUCGUAGAUCAGCAUGCUACGGUGAAUACGUUCCCGGGUCU
Molecule: ribosomal RNA, 1369 nt
Filed under: uncultured bacterium
Lineage: Bacteria
Description: bacterial SSU rRNA
Rfam family: Bacterial small subunit ribosomal RNA
Source: RNAcentral